RNAcentral lists this transfer RNA (75 nucleotides) under Chitinophaga skermanii. Its description in RNAcentral is "tRNA-Met". It matches the Rfam family "tRNA". From Rfam's summary of the family: Transfer RNA (tRNA) molecules are approximately 80 nucleotides in length. The record is from RNAcentral. Lineage: Bacteria; Pseudomonadati; Bacteroidota; Chitinophagia; Chitinophagales; Chitinophagaceae.
UGCGAGAUAGAGCAGAGGUAGCUCGUCGGGCUCAUAACCCGAAGGUCAGUGGUUCGAAUCCGCUUCUCGCUACAA